Molecule: long non-coding RNA, 441 nt
Organism: Drosophila erecta
Lineage: Eukaryota; Metazoa; Arthropoda; Insecta; Diptera; Drosophilidae
Exons: 2
Source: RefSeq, a predicted model, not a curated record
ACUAACUACUGGGUGCAGCGCAUGUCCGAGGUGCACCGAAGACCCCGGACCAAAAAAAAUGGCACAAACCAAACUCUCCGACUUCCAGGCGCCGCAGGAAGAUCGACAGCAUGGAAUGCGGCACUAGGAAAUAUUCACUGAAUACAAAGCUGAUCAAGUGAUAUCUGCAAUGUGGUAAAGUGCUUUCUGUCACUCGGAUCCAUUUUUAUAUAAACCAAUUAGUUUUAUUUUCGUACGUGUUCUGCAAAUUAUCAGAUAUUUUUUAUUCUCUUUUGAAUCACCUGAUGUUUAUUGUGAAAAUUAACUUUUGUAAUUUAUUGUUCGUCUGUCCUAUAAAUUGUAGUUUGACACAAUAUAAAAUGGUAUAACUAUUUUUGAUAGUUUUACUGUAAAAUAUAUUCCCUUUACAUAUUGAGACAAAAUGUAAAUAUGAAACUAAAA